GUCAGUUGUUACACACUCCCCCGCAGCUCCGCACCGCCGGCGACUGCCGGGUAUGAGCCCGACGCUCCAGCGCCAUCCAUUUUCAGGGCUAGUUGAUUCGGCAGGUGAGUUGUUACACACUCCUUAGCGGCUUCCGACUUCCAUGGCCACCGUCCUGCUGUCUGGAUCAAC
This is a long non-coding RNA of Oxyura jamaicensis (ruddy duck), 171 nucleotides long. RefSeq lists it as uncharacterized. The transcript has 3 exons. The record is from RefSeq and is a predicted model, not a curated record. NCBI's taxonomy places the organism in Eukaryota, Metazoa, Chordata, Aves, Anseriformes, Anatidae.